This 405-nucleotide ribosomal RNA is filed under the name uncultured bacterium. Its description in RNAcentral is "bacterial SSU rRNA". It matches the Rfam family "Bacterial small subunit ribosomal RNA", at positions 354 to 776 of the family's 1533-position model. The record is from RNAcentral.
GUGGGGAAUAUUGGACAAUGGGGGCAACCCUGAUCCAGCCAUGCCGCGUGCGUGAAGAAGGCCUUAGGGUUGUAAAGCGCUUUCGGCGGGGAAGAUGAUGACGGUACCCGCAGAAGAAGCUCCGGCUAACUCCGUGCCAGCAGCCGCGGUAAUACGGAGGGGGCUAGCGUUGUUCGGAAUUACUGGGCGUAAAGGGCGCGUAGGCGGAUUGUCAAGUCAGAGGUGAAAGCCCUGGGCUCAACCUGGGAACUGCCUUUGAAACUAACGGUCUAGAGUCCGAGAGAGGAUGGCGGAAUUCCCAGUGUAGAGGUGAAAUUCGUAGAUAUUGGGAAGAACACCAGUGGCGAAGGCGGCCAUCUGGCUCGGUACUGACGCUGAGGCGCGAAAGCGUGGGGAGCAAACAGG